AUUGAACGCUGGCGGCAUGCCUUACACAUGCAAGUCGAACGGUAACAGGUCUUCGGAUGCUGACGAGUGGCGAACGGGUGAGUAAUACAUCGGAACGUGCCUAGUAGUGGGGGAUAACUACUCGAAAGAGUGGCUAAUACCGCAUGAGAUCUACGGAUGAAAGCAGGGGAUCGCAAGACCUUGUGCUACUAGAGCGGCCGAUGGCAGAUUAGGUAGUUGGUGGGAUAAAAGCUUACCAAGCCGACGAUCUGUAGCUGGUCUGAGAGGGCGAUCAGCCACACUGGGACUGAGAAACGGCCCAGACUCCUACGGGAGGCAGCAGUGGGGAAUUUUGGACAAUGGGCGCAAGCCUGAUCCAGCAAUGCCGCGUGCAGGAUGAAGGCCUUCGGGUUGUAAACUGCUUUUGUACGGAACGAAAAGCCCCGGGUUAAUACCCUGGGGUCAUGACGGUACCGUAAGAAUAAGCACCGGCUAACUACGUGUCAGCCGCCGCCGUAA
Molecule: ribosomal RNA, 498 nt
Filed under: uncultured bacterium
Lineage: Bacteria
Description: partial 16S ribosomal RNA
Rfam family: Bacterial small subunit ribosomal RNA
Source: RNAcentral